UACACAUAAAAGACCCCAGGAUCCGCCGUUUCUCUAAAAAGAAGAUCGAAGGAAAAUCAGCCAUCUUCUUUCAUUUUGAGAAGAGAUCAGCCAAAAAAAGGAGCUAACCUAAGAGAAGAGACUAACGCCUCAGACUUAGACAAAAAGAGGCAACAACUUCUUCUUCAAACAAAAAACGCAGAACCAACUCCAUGGUCUUGUUUAUUUCCUCUUGACAAAAUUAUUGAUUAAUCAAGGUUCAGAUUCAAUUUCAAGGUUCAUUCUCUAUCCUUUCCUUGUUAUUUUUUUCAAAAAAUACUUUUUUUAGUUGGAAUAAUAUCGGAAUUUUGAUUAAGCAUAAGAUGUUUUGCUUUUGACAUCCUUUAUUUAUAAUUAGAUUUCAUUAUUUUUGUGAUUUCUUUAGAUUAUAUUUGUUCAUAUAAUAAUGAUGAAUGACGUAGUAAUUUUUUCUUUGUCUACAAUUUUGAUUUUAUCCCUCAUGGUUACAAUUCACUUUGGUUAGAUUUGUUAGUAUUAAUUGCCUAUAAGAAUUUGAAAGGGAUCGUUGUCUGUUGAGUCAAGUCCUUGAACAAUUAGCCUAUUGGGCUAAAGGAAUAAUUUUGUUUCGUGAGUAAGGUUAAGCUGUAUUUGAUGCCAUAAGCCCAAAAGAAUAAAGACGUCCCUGUCCAUAUUCGUGCAUAUGCUGGCCCAAUUUUGCUCAAACACAUGUAGUUAGCCCACCAUUUCAUGACUAAUUAAUCUAUUUCAUGCUUCCUUAUAAUAAUUCCAUAACUCUUGGCCUUGAAAUAAUCUCGAGUUAACUAAGAAAGGAAAUAUUAUGAACAUCCGUGGUUGGCUUUAGUUAAAUACUUUAUUUUAAAAUAAAUUGAGGCGUGCCAUGCCAAACAAAAAUUUAUAAUCCAUGGUCCUCAGAUAAUUAAUUUUAACUCUUUAGAAAUCAAGGUGCGCCAUUAGUUGAAUCUUCCAUGGCUCUCGCAAACUUGAAAGUCCGUAGUUGCUUUAGGCACACUAUUUUAAAAAUUACCUUUCUAAACUCGGGUGUGCAUUUAUGUGAUCCAAAUCCAAAUCUCAACAACGUUAGAUAAAAUCUGUCGUGGACCGCAUGUGCAUUUAUGUGACGUGGUCCAAGAUGCAUUUUAGGUGACAUUUAAUCUUCCUAAAAAAUAUUUAAAUAAAUGCGGUUAUAAAGUUAAAAUUGAACCAUAUGUUAAAACAUGUAUUAAAAUCAGAUAAUAGUCCAAUUAUAAUAGUUGAGCGACUGUGCUAGAACCACGGAAUCCGGGAAUGCCUAACACCUUCUCUCAGGUUAACAGAAUUCCUUACCCGGAUUUCUGUGUUUGCGGACUGUAAAACAGAGUCAAUCUUUUCCUCGAUUCGGGAUUUGAACUGGUGACUUGGGACACCAUAACAUUAUCUCAAGUGGCGACUCUGAAUUUAAUAAAUAAAUAAUCCCAUUUCGAUUGUCACUUAAAUUGGAAAAAACUCCCUUAUACUCCUUCCGAGGGGGUAGAUAAAAAGGAGGUGUGAAAGCUCUGGCAGUUCUGCUGGGGAAAAAAACCCAGAACUUCUGGUUCAGGGUUCAAGUAUUCAAGCUUAGAAUAAUUGUUAUAAUUGACUUUAUUUAUUAUACUGAUUUUAUUGCAUGUUUGAGCCUAAUGUGCUAAAUGCCGCUUAUUGCCUCUUGUUACCGCUUUGAUAUUAUUUGAAUUGUAUAUAAACUGUUACGAAACCCUUCUCUUUUCAUCUUCAGGGAUGUGCACACUGGCGUGACUCCUCCUUCUGUUAGUGUCAUACCUUGAAAAAAGAAAGAGGCUCGGACAAGUUAUAAANNNN
This 1833-nucleotide long non-coding RNA is filed under the name Nicotiana tabacum (common tobacco). RNAcentral describes it as "long non-coding RNA (NTAB_LNC010630)". The record is from RNAcentral. Lineage: Eukaryota; Viridiplantae; Streptophyta; Magnoliopsida; Solanales; Solanaceae.